Molecule: ribosomal RNA, 465 nt
Filed under: uncultured bacterium
Lineage: Bacteria
Description: partial 16S ribosomal RNA
Rfam family: Bacterial small subunit ribosomal RNA
Source: RNAcentral
GACGAACGCUGGCGGCGUGCUUAACACAUGCAAGUCGAACGGAAAGGCCCUGCUUGCAGGGUACUCGAGUGGCGAACGGGUGAGUAACACGUGGGUGAUCUGCCCUGCACUUCGGGAUAAGCCUGGGAAACUGGGUCUAAUACCGGAUAGGAGCCAUUUUUAGUGUGAUGGUUGGAAAGUUUUUUCGGUGUAGGAUGAGCUCGCGGCCUAUCAGCUUGUUGGUGGGGUAAUGGCCUACCAAGGCGGCGACGGGUAGCCGGCCUGAGAGGGUGGACGGCCACAUUGGGACUGAGAUACGGCCCAGACUCCUACGGGCGGUAGCAGUGGGGAAUAUUGCACAAUGGGCGCAAGCCUGAUGCAGCGACGCCGCGUGGGGGAUGACGGCCUUCGGGUUGUAAACUCCUUUCGCUAGGGACGAAGCUUUUUGUGACGGUACCUAGAUAAGAAGCACCGGCUAACUACGUG